AUCCAGCUGGCGAGUCCCAAAUAGGACGAAACGCGUGUCCUGGAU
Molecule: non-coding RNA, 45 nt
Filed under: Schistosoma mattheei
Lineage: Eukaryota; Metazoa; Platyhelminthes; Trematoda; Strigeidida; Schistosomatidae
Source: RNAcentral